This is a long non-coding RNA of Schistocerca gregaria, 419 nucleotides long. RefSeq lists it as uncharacterized. The record is from RefSeq and is a predicted model, not a curated record. The transcript is spliced from 3 exons. Lineage: Eukaryota; Metazoa; Arthropoda; Insecta; Orthoptera; Acrididae.
AUCAUCCUCGUCCUUAGUCUUUUAUAUGCACUAAUACGAGAUCUGCUUAUUUGAUUGACCCUGUCCUCACCUCGUCAAAACCGGCUUUAAUUGAUAUAUCUCUGGCUGCAGAAUGCGCGCUAAGUGGAGAAAGAAACGACAAAGGCGAUUGAAGCGAAAGCGACGAAAGAUGAGGGCCAAGGCCGUAUAAGCUCCAUUGCGUGAGAGGAAUUUUUUUUGUAGAAUCAAGUACUCUUUUUCGUAGCCGUUGGUUGACAAGAAACAGUAUGGCGGUGGUACUUUAGACGAUUGAAAAGCGAAAAACCAAAAAGUGCCCUACCACUCUAGCCACCACCUGACUUUACCAAAUUGACAUUUUUUUCUACAAAAUGGAAAUUCUAAAUAAAACACAUAUUUAUCCGUUUUUGGUUUAUCAUCGA